GAUGAACGCUGGCGGCGUGCCUAAUACAUGCAAGUCGAGCGAACAGACGAGGAGCUUGCUCCUCUGACGUUAGCGGCGGACGGGUGAGUAACACGUGGAUAACCUACCUAUAAGACUGGGAUAACUUCGGGAAACCGGAGCUAAUACCGGAUAAUAUAUUGAACCGCAUGGUUCAAUAGUGAAAGACGGUUUUGCUGUCACUUAUAGAUGGAUCCGCGCCGCAUUAGCUAGUUGGUAAGGUAACGGCUUACCAAGGCGACGAUGCGUAGCCGACCUGAGAGGGGGAUCGGCCACACUGGAACUGAGACACGUCCCAGACUCCUACGGGAGGCAGCAGUAGGGAAUCUGCCGCAAUGGGCGAAAGCCUGACGGAGCAACGCCGCGUGAGUGAUGAAGGUCUUCGGAUCGUAAAACUCUGUUAUUAGGGAAGAACAAAUGUGUAAGUAACUAUGCACGUCUUGACGGUACCUAAUCAGAAAGCCACGGCUAACUACGU
Molecule: ribosomal RNA, 496 nt
Filed under: uncultured bacterium
Lineage: Bacteria
Description: partial 16S ribosomal RNA
Rfam family: Bacterial small subunit ribosomal RNA
Source: RNAcentral